UGAAGCGGCAACAGCUCAAAUUUGAAAUCUGGCCCUUGGGUCCGAGUUGUAAUUUGUAGAGGAUGCUUUUGGCGAGGUGCCUUCCGAGUUCCCUGGAACGGGACGCCAUAGAGGGUGAGAGCCCCGUCUGGUCGGACACCGAGCCUCUGUAAAGCUCCUUCGACGAGUCGAGUAGUUUGGGAAUGCUGCUCAAAAUGGGAGGUAUAUGUCUUCUAAAGCUAAAUAUUGGCCAGAGACCGAUAGCGCACAAGUAGAGUGAUCGAAAGAUGAAAAGCACUUUGAAAAGAGGGUUAAAAAGUACGUGAAAUUGUUGAAAGGGAAGCGCCUAUGACCAGACUUGGGCCCGGUGAAUCAUCCAGCGUUCUCGCUGGUGCACUUUGCCGGGCACAGGCCAGCAUCAGUUUGGCGCGGGGGAAAAAGGCUUUGGGAAUGUGGCUCCCUCGGGAGUGUUAUAGCCCAUUGUGUAAUACCCUGCGCCGGACUGAGGUACGCGCAUUGCAAGGAUGCUGGCGUAAUGGUCAUCAGCGACCCGUCUUGAAACACGGACCAAGGAGUCGUCUUCGUAUGCGAGUGUUCGGGUGUCAAACCCCUACGCGUAAUGAAAGUGAACGCAGGUGAGAGCUUCGGCGCAUCAUCGACCGAUCCUGAUGUUCUCGGAUGGAUUUGAGUAAGAGCAUACGGGGCCGGACCCGAAAGAAGGUGAACUAUGCCUGUAUAGGGUGAAGCCAGAGGAAACUCUGGUGGAGGCUCGCAGCGGUUCUGACGUGCGAAUCGAUCGUCAAAUAUGGGCAUGGGGGCGAAAGACUAAUCGAACCUUCUAGUAGCUGGUUUCCGCCGAAGUUUCCCUCAGGAUAGCAGUGUUGAACUCAGUUUUAUGAGGUAAAGCGAAUGAUUAGGGACUCGGGGGCGCUAUAUUGCCUUCAUCCAUUCUCAAACUUUAAAUAUGUAAGAAGCCCUUGUUACUUAAUUGAACGUGGGCAUUCGAAUGUAUCAACACUAGUGGGCCAUUUUUGGUAAGCAGAACUGGCGAUGCGGGAUGAACCGAACGCGAGGUUAAGGUGCCGGAGUGGACGCUCAUCAGACACCACAAAAGGUGUUAGUACAUCUUGACAGCAGGACGGUGGCCAUGGAAGUCGGAAUCCGCUAAGGACUGUGUAACAACUCACCUGCCGAAUGUACUAGCCCUGAAAAUGGAUGGCGCUCAAGCGUCCCACCCAUACCUCGCCCUCAGGGUAGAAACGAAGCCCUGAGGAGUAGGCGGACGUGGAGGUCAGUGACGAAGCC
Molecule: ribosomal RNA, 1284 nt
Filed under: Lecanicillium pissodis
Lineage: Eukaryota; Fungi; Ascomycota; Sordariomycetes; Hypocreales; Cordycipitaceae
Also listed under: 2 other names
Description: LSU rRNA
Rfam family: Eukaryotic large subunit ribosomal RNA
Source: RNAcentral